Molecule: ribosomal RNA, 482 nt
Filed under: uncultured bacterium
Lineage: Bacteria
Description: bacterial SSU rRNA
Rfam family: Bacterial small subunit ribosomal RNA
Source: RNAcentral
AUUGAACGCUGGCGGCAUGCUUUACACAUGCAAGUCGAACGGUAACAGGCCGCAAGGUGCUGACGAGUGGCGAACGGGUGAGUAAUGCAUCGGAACGUGCCCAGUCGUGGGGGAUAACGCAGCGAAAGCUGCGCUAAUACCGCAUACGAUCUAUGGAUGAAAGCGGGGGACCGUAAGGCCUCGCGCGAUUGGAGCGGCCGAUGUCAGAUUAGGUAGUUGGUGGGGUAAAGGCCCACCAAGCCGACGAUCUGUAGCUGGUCUGAGAGGACGACCAGCCACACUGGGACUGAGACACGGCCCAGACUCCUACGGGAGGCAGCAGUGGGGAAUUUUGGACAAUGGGCGCAAGCCUGAUCCAGCAAUGCCGCGUGCAGGAAGAAGGCCUUCGGGUUGUAAACUGCUUUUGUACGGAACGAAACGGUCCUGUCUAAUACAUGGGGCUAAUGACGGUACCGUAAGAAUAAGCACCGGCUAACUACGUG